AACGAACGCUGGCGGCAUGCCUAACACAUGCAAGUCGAACGAGACCUUCGGGUCUAGUGGCGCACGGGUGCGUAACGCGUGGGAACCUGCCUUAGGUUCGGAAUAACUCAGAGAAAUUUGGAGCCUAAUACCGGAUAAUGUCUUCGGACCAAAGAUUUAUCGCCUUUAGAUGGGCCCGCGUUGGAUUAGCUAGUUGGUGGGGUAAAGGCCUACCAAGGCGACGAUCCAUAGCUGGUCUGAGAGGAUGAUCAGCCACACUGGG
Molecule: ribosomal RNA, 262 nt
Filed under: uncultured bacterium
Lineage: Bacteria
Description: partial 16S ribosomal RNA
Rfam family: Bacterial small subunit ribosomal RNA
Source: RNAcentral